AUCUUUGCACAGUAGCAGUAUCAUAGCCAAUGAGGUUUAUCUGAGGCAUGAUUAUUGUUAAUAGAAAACAAUAUAAAGAAUCAAUGAACCGAAGAGUUGGUUCUUGGAAAUAAAACUGACAAAUCCUUAG
Molecule: small nuclear RNA, 130 nt
Organism: Heterocephalus glaber (naked mole-rat)
Lineage: Eukaryota; Metazoa; Chordata; Mammalia; Rodentia; Bathyergidae
Gene: U4
Rfam family: U4 spliceosomal RNA
About the family: U4 small nuclear RNA (U4 snRNA) is a component of the major U2-dependent spliceosome. The structure of U4 snRNA from yeast and human has been reported. U4 snRNA presents a k-turn RNA motif in the 5p-SL related to recognition of Snu13 protein.
Source: Ensembl